GACAGAGGGUGCAAACGUUGUUCGGAAUUACUGGGCGUAAAGCGCGUGUAGGCGGCUCUGUAAGUCGGGUGUGAAAUCCCACGGCUCAACCGUGGAAGUGCACUCGAAACUGUUUAUCUUGAGUGCCGGAGAGGAAAGCGGAAUUCCUGGUGUAGAGGUGAAAUUCGUAGAUAUCAGGAGGAACACCAGUGGCGAGGGCGGCUUUCUGGACGGUAACUGACGCUGAGACGCGAAAGCGUGGGGAGCAAACAGG
This 253-nucleotide ribosomal RNA is filed under the name uncultured bacterium. Its description in RNAcentral is "partial 16S ribosomal RNA". It matches the Rfam family "Bacterial small subunit ribosomal RNA", at positions 524 to 776 of the family's 1533-position model. The record is from RNAcentral.